RNAcentral lists this ribosomal RNA (255 nucleotides) under uncultured Pseudomonas sp. Its description in RNAcentral is "partial 16S ribosomal RNA". It matches the Rfam family "Bacterial small subunit ribosomal RNA", at positions 1132 to 1382 of the family's 1533-position model. Lineage: Bacteria; Pseudomonadati; Pseudomonadota; Gammaproteobacteria; Pseudomonadales; Pseudomonadaceae. The record is from RNAcentral.
UGGGCACUCUAAGGAGACUGCCGGUGAACAAACCGGAGGAAGGGUGGGGAUGACGUCAAGUCAUCAUCGGCCCUUACGGCCGUGGGCUACACACGUGCUACAAUGGUCGGUACAAAGGGUUGCCAAGCCGCGAGGUGGAGCUAAUCCCAUAAAACCGAUCGUAGUCCGGAUCGCAGUCUGCAACUCGACUGCGUGAAGUCGGAAUCGCUAGUAAUCGUGAAUCAGAAUGUCACGGUGAAUACGUUCCCGGGCCUU